AUUGAACGCUGGCGGCAGGCCUAACACAUGCAAGUCGAACGAGUGGCGGACGGGUGAGUAAUGUCUGGGAAACUGCCUGAUGGAGGGGGAUAACUACUGGAAACGGUAGCUAAUACCGCAUACUAUCAGAUGUGCCCAGAUGGGAUUAGCUUGUGGGUGGGGUAACGGCUCACCAAGGCGACGAUCCCUAGCUGGUCUGUGAGGAUGAACAGCCACACUGGGACUGAGACACGGUCCAGACUCCUACGGGAGGCAGCAGUGGGGAAUAUUGCACAAUGGGCGCAAGCCUGAUGCAGCCAUGCCGCGUGUAUGAAGAAGGCCAUAGGGUUGUAAAGUACUUUCAGCGGGGAGGCGUUACCCGCAGAAGAAGCACCGGCUAACUCCGUGCCAGCAGCCGCGGUAAUAC
RNAcentral lists this ribosomal RNA (406 nucleotides) under uncultured bacterium. RNAcentral's name for it is "partial 16S ribosomal RNA". It matches the Rfam family "Bacterial small subunit ribosomal RNA", at positions 30 to 526 of the family's 1533-position model. The record is from RNAcentral.